This 314-nucleotide unclassified non-coding RNA is filed under the name plant metagenome. Its description in RNAcentral is "partial contains 5.8S ribosomal RNA, internal transcribed spacer 2, and large subunit ribosomal RNA". The stretch from base 1 to 105 matches the Rfam family "5.8S ribosomal RNA", at positions 50 to 154 of the family's 154-position model. The record is from RNAcentral.
GAAAUGCGAUAAUUAAUGUGAAUUGCAGAAUUCAGUGAAUCAUCGAGUCUUUGAACGCACAUUGCGCCCCCUGGUAUUCCGGGGGGCAUGCCUGUCGGAGCGUCAUUGCUGCCCUCAAGCACGGCUUGUGUGUUGGGCUUCCGUCCCUGGCAACGGGGACGGGCCCAAAAGGCAGUGGCGGCACCAUGUCUGGUCCUCGAGCGUAUGGGGCUUUGUCACCCGCUCCCGUAGGUCCAGCUGGCAGCUAGCCUCGCAACCAAUCUUUUUAACCAGGUUGACCUCGGAUCAGGUAGGGAUACCCGCUGAACUUAAGC